AGAGUUUGAUCCUGGCUCAGAGUGAACGCUGGCGGCGUGCUUAACACAUGCAAGUCGAACGAGAACAGAAGAGAGCUUGCUCUCUUGCUGCUAAGUGGCGCACGGGUGAGUAAUAUAUAGGUAAUAUGCCUCUUACUAAGGGAUAAUUGUUGGAAACGACUUGUAAUACCUUAUAUGCCUUUUGAACAUAAGUUCGUAAAGGGAAAGAUUUAUCGGUAAGAGAUUAGCCUGUACGGUAUCAGAUAGUUGGUGGGGUAAUGGCCUACCAAGUCUAUGACACCUAACUGGUUUGAGAGGAUGAUCAGUCACACUGGAACUGAGACACGGUCCAGACUCCUACGGGAGGCAGCAGUGGGGAAUAUUGCACAAUGGACGAAAGUCUGAUGCAGCAACGCCGCGUGGAGGAUGACACAUUUCGGUGCGUAAACUCCUUUUAUAUGAGAAGAUAAUGACGGUAUCAUAUGAAUAAGCACCGGCUAACUCCGUGCCAGCAGCCGCGGUAAUACGGGGGGUGCAAGCGUUACUCGGAAUCACUGGGCGUAAAGAGCAUGUAGGCGGGUGAAUAAGUUGGAAGUGAAAUCCUAUAGCUUAACUAUAGAACUGCUUCCAAAACUGUUCACCUAGAGUAUGGGAGAGGUAGAUGGAAUUUCUGGUGUAGGGGUAAAAUCCGUAGAGAUCAGAAGGAAUACCGAUUGCGAAGGCGAUCUACUGGAACAUUACUGACGCUCAGAUGCGAAAGCGUGGGGAGCAAACAGGAUUAGAUACCCUGGUAGUCCACGCCCUAAACGAUGUACACUAGUUGUUGCUAUACUAGAUAUGGCAGUAAUGCAGUUAACACUUUA
RNAcentral lists this ribosomal RNA (842 nucleotides) under uncultured bacterium. RNAcentral describes it as "bacterial SSU rRNA". It matches the Rfam family "Bacterial small subunit ribosomal RNA", at positions 8 to 862 of the family's 1533-position model. The record is from RNAcentral.